GAUGAACGUUGGCGGUGUGCCUAAUACAUGCAAGUCGAACGGAGUCAGUAGCAAUAUUGGCUCAGUGGCGAACGGGUGAGUAACGCGUUGGUGAUCUGCCUUGAAGUGUGGAAUAACGUUUCGAAAGAGACGCUAAUACCGCAUGUGCUCUCGAUUUUCAGAAAGUUGAGAGUAAAGGAUUUAUUCGCUUCAAGAGGAGCCUGCGUCCCAUCAGCUGGUUGGUAGGGUAACGGCCUACCAAGGCUAUGACGGGUAGGGGACCUGAGAGGGUGGCCCCCCACAAUGGAACUGAACACGGUCCAUACACCUACGGGUGGCAGCAGUAGGGAAGUAAUUUAGAAAUAGGACGAAAGUACUGAUCUAGCAACACCGCGUGUGCGAAGAAGGCCUCGGUC
RNAcentral lists this ribosomal RNA (395 nucleotides) under uncultured bacterium. RNAcentral describes it as "bacterial SSU rRNA". It matches the Rfam family "Bacterial small subunit ribosomal RNA", at positions 28 to 424 of the family's 1533-position model. The record is from RNAcentral.